RNAcentral lists this unclassified non-coding RNA (337 nucleotides) under soil metagenome. RNAcentral's name for it is "partial contains 5.8S ribosomal RNA, internal transcribed spacer 2, and large subunit ribosomal RNA". The stretch from base 1 to 120 matches the Rfam family "5.8S ribosomal RNA", at positions 35 to 154 of the family's 154-position model. The record is from RNAcentral.
GAUGAAGAACGUAGCGAAAUGCGAUAAGUAGUGUGAAUUGCAGAAUUCAGUGAAUCAUCGAAUCUUUGAACGCACAUUGCGCCCCUUGGUAUUCCAUGGGGCAUGCCUGUUCGAGCGUCAUUUGUACCUUCAAGCUCUGCUUGGUGUUGGGUGUUUGUCUCGCCUCUGCGUGUAGACUCGCCUCAAAACAAUUGGCAGCCGGCGUAUCGAUUUCGGAGCGCAGUACAUCUCGCGCUUUGCACUCAUAACGACGACGUCCAAAAGUACAUUUUUACACUCUUGACCUCGGAUCAGGUAGGGAUACCCGCUGAACUUAAGCAUAUCAAUAAGCGGAGGA